GCAUAUCAAAAAGCGGAGGAAAAGAAACUAACAAGGAUUCCCCUAGUAACUGCGAGUGAAGCGGGAAAAGCUCAAAUUUAAAAUCUGGUGGUCUUUGGCCAUCCGAGUUGUAAUCUAGAGAAGUGUUAUCCGCGCUGGACCGUGUACAAGUCCCCUGGAAUGGGGCGUCAUAGAGGGUGAGAAUCCCGUCUUUGACACGGACUACCAGGGCUUUGUGAUGCACUCUCAAAGAGUCGAGUUGUUUGGGAAUGCAGCUCAAAAUGGGUGGUAAAUUCCAUCUAAAGCUAAAUAUUGGCGAGAGACCGAUAGCGAACAAGUACCGUGAGGGAAAGAUGAAAAGAACUUUGGAAAGAGAGUUAAACAGUACGUGAAAUUGUUGAAAGGGAAACGCUUGAAGUCAGUCGCGUCUGCCAGGGAUCAACCUUACUUUUGUGAGGCGUACUUCCUGGUUGAUGGGUCAGCAUCAGUUUUGGUCGCUGGAUAAAGGUCAGAGAAAUGUGGCACCUUCGGGUGUGUUAUAGUCUUUGAUCAGAUACAGUGGCUGGGACUGAGGAACUCAGCGCCGCAAGGCUGUCUUAGGAUGCUGGCAAAAUGGCUUUAAUCGACCCGUCUUGAAACACGGACAAAAGGAGUC
RNAcentral lists this ribosomal RNA (634 nucleotides) under Pleurotus columbinus. Its description in RNAcentral is "LSU rRNA". It matches the Rfam family "Eukaryotic large subunit ribosomal RNA", at positions 38 to 675 of the family's 3401-position model. The record is from RNAcentral. Lineage: Eukaryota; Fungi; Basidiomycota; Agaricomycetes; Agaricales; Pleurotaceae. RNAcentral also lists the same sequence under 1 other name.